UGGGGAAUAUUGCGCAAUGGGGGAAACCCUGACGCAGCAACGCCGCGUGAAGGAUGAAGGUCUUCGGAUUGUAAACUUCUUUGAUUGGGGAAGAUAAUGACGGUACCCAAAAAACAAGCCACGGCUAACUACGUGCCAAGCAGCCGCGGUAAUACGUAGGUGGCGAGCGUUGUCCGGAAUUACUGGGUGUAAAGGGCGUGUAGGACGGGAAGGUAAGUCAGAUAGUGAAAUACCGGGGCUCAACUCCGGGGCUGCAUUUGAAACUAUCUUUCUUGAGUGCAGGAGAGGAAAGUGGAAUUCCUAGUGUAGCGGUGAAAUGCGUAGAUAUUAGGAGGAACACCAGUGGCGAAGGCGACUUUCUGGACUGUAACUGACGCUGAGGCGCGAAAGCGUGGGGAGCGAACAGGAUUAGAUACCCUGGUAGUCCACGCCGUAAACGAUGGAUACUAGGUGUUGGGGGUAUCGACCCCCCCAGUGCCGCAGCUAACGCAAUAAGUAUCCCACCAGGGGA
Molecule: ribosomal RNA, 511 nt
Filed under: uncultured Bacillota bacterium
Lineage: Bacteria; Bacillati; Bacillota
Description: bacterial SSU rRNA
Rfam family: Bacterial small subunit ribosomal RNA
Source: RNAcentral